This 497-nucleotide ribosomal RNA is filed under the name uncultured bacterium. RNAcentral's name for it is "partial 16S ribosomal RNA". It matches the Rfam family "Bacterial small subunit ribosomal RNA", at positions 28 to 507 of the family's 1533-position model. The record is from RNAcentral.
GAUGAACGCUGGCGGCGUGCCUAAUACAUGCAAGUCGAGCGAACAGAUGAGGAGCUUGCUCCUCUGACGUUAGCGGCGGACGGGUGAGUAACACGUGGAUAACCUACCUAUAGGACUGGGAUAACUUCGGGAAACCGGAGCUAAUACCGGAUAAUAUAUUGAACCGCAUGGUUCAAUAGUCAAAGACGGUUUUGCUGUCACUUAUAGAUGGAUCCGCGCCGCAUUAGCUAGUUGGUAAGGUAACGGCUUACCAAGGCAACGAUGCGUAGCCGACCUGAGAGGGUGAUCGGCCACACUGGAACUGAGACACGGUCCAGACUCCUACGGGAGGCAGCAGUAGGGAAUCUUCCGCAAUGGGCGAAAGCCUGACGGAGCAACGCCGCGUGAGUGAUGAAGGUCUUCGGAUCGUAAAACUCUGUUAUUAGGGAAGAACAAAUGUGUAAGUAACUAUGCACGUCUUGACGGUACCUAAUCAGAAAGCCACGGCUAACUACGUG